This 425-nucleotide ribosomal RNA is filed under the name uncultured bacterium. RNAcentral's name for it is "partial 16S ribosomal RNA". It matches the Rfam family "Bacterial small subunit ribosomal RNA", at positions 354 to 796 of the family's 1533-position model. The record is from RNAcentral.
GUGGGGAAUAUUGGACAAUGGGCGAAAGCCUGAUCCAGCCAUGCCGCGUGAGUGAUGAAGGCCUUAGGGUUGUAAAGCUCUUUUGUCCGGGAAGAUAAUGACUGUACCGGAAGAAUAAGCCCCGGCUAACUUCGUGCCAGCAGCCGCGGUAAUACGAAGGGGGCUAGCGUUGCUCGGAAUCACUGGGCGUAAAGGGCGCGUAGGUGGACUUUUAAGUCGGAGGUGAAAGCCCAGGGCUCAACCCUGGAAUUUCCUUCGAUACUGGGAGUCUUGAGUUCGGAAGAGGUUGGUGGAACUGCGAGUGUAGAGGUGAAAUUCGUAGAUAUUCGCAAGAACACCGGUGGCGAAGGCGGCCAACUGGUCCGAAACUGACGCUGAGGCGCGAAAGCGUGGGGAGCAAACAGGAUUAGAUACCCUUGUAGUCC